Molecule: ribosomal RNA, 209 nt
Filed under: uncultured bacterium
Lineage: Bacteria
Description: partial 16S ribosomal RNA
Rfam family: Bacterial small subunit ribosomal RNA
Source: RNAcentral
UACGUAGGGUGCAAGCGUUAAUCGGAAUUACUGGGCGUAAAGCGUGCGCAGGCGGUUUUGUAAGUCUGACGUGAAAUCCCCGGGCUCAACCUGGGAAUUGCGUUGGAGACUGCAAGGCUAGAAUCUGGCAGAGGGGGGUAGAAUUCCACGUGUAGCAGUGAAAUGCGUGGAGAUGUGGAGGAACACCGAUGGCGAAGGCAGCCCCCUGG